RNAcentral lists this ribosomal RNA (253 nucleotides) under uncultured bacterium. RNAcentral describes it as "partial 16S ribosomal RNA". It matches the Rfam family "Bacterial small subunit ribosomal RNA", at positions 524 to 776 of the family's 1533-position model. The record is from RNAcentral.
UACGUAGGGCGCAAGCGUUGUCCGGAAUUAUUGGGCGUAAAGAGCUCGUAGGCGGCUUGUUGCGUCGGAUGUGAAAGCCCGGGGCUUAACCCCGGGUCUGCAUUCGAUACGGGCAGGCUAGAGUGUGGUAGGGGAGAUCGGAAUUCCUGGUGUAGCGGUGAAAUGCGCAGAUAUCAGGAGGAACACCGGUGGCGAAGGCGGAUCUCUGGGACGGUACUGACGCUGAGACGCGAAAGCGUGGGGAGCGAACAGG